This 554-nucleotide ribosomal RNA is filed under the name uncultured bacterium. RNAcentral describes it as "bacterial SSU rRNA". It matches the Rfam family "Bacterial small subunit ribosomal RNA", at positions 371 to 917 of the family's 1533-position model. The record is from RNAcentral.
AUGGGGGGAACCCUGACCGAGCAACGCCGCGUGAGUGAAGAAGGUUUUCGGAUCGUAAAGCUCUGUUGUUAAGGAAGAACGAGUGUGAGAAUGGAAAGUUCAUACUGUGACGGUACUUAACCAGAAAGGGACGGCUAACUACGUGCCAGCAGCCGCGGUAAUACGUAGGUCCCGAGCGUUGUCCGGAUUUAUUGGGCGUAAAGCGAGCGCAGGCGGUUAGAUAAGUCUGAAGUUAAAGGCAGUGGCUCAACCAUUGUAGGCUUUGGAAACUGUUUAACUUGAGUGCAGAAGGGGAGAGUGGAAUUCCAUGUGUAGCGGUGAAAUGCGUAGAUAUAUGGAGGAACACCGGUGGCGAAAGCGGCUCUCUGGUCUGUAACUGACGCUGAGGCUCGAAAGCGUGGGGAGCGAACAGGAUUAGAUACCCUGGUAGUCCACGCCGUAAACGAUGAGUGCUAGGUGUUAGGUCCUUUCCGGGACUUAGUGCCGCAGCUAACGCAUUAAGCACUCCGCCUGGGGAGUACGACCGCAAGGUGAAACUCAAAGGAAUUGACGGC